RNAcentral lists this ribosomal RNA (65 nucleotides) under Conidiobolus coronatus. RNAcentral's name for it is "partial 28S ribosomal RNA". It matches the Rfam family "Eukaryotic large subunit ribosomal RNA", at positions 1 to 62 of the family's 3401-position model. The record is from RNAcentral. Lineage: Eukaryota; Fungi; Entomophthoromycota; Entomophthoromycetes; Entomophthorales; Conidiobolaceae.
UUUAUGCCUCAACUCAAACAAGAUUACCCGCUGAACUUAAGCAUAUCAAUAAGCGGAGGAAAAGA